RNAcentral lists this ribosomal RNA (440 nucleotides) under uncultured Syntrophaceticus sp. Its description in RNAcentral is "bacterial SSU rRNA". It matches the Rfam family "Bacterial small subunit ribosomal RNA", at positions 338 to 795 of the family's 1533-position model. The record is from RNAcentral. Lineage: Bacteria; Bacillati; Bacillota; Clostridia; Thermoanaerobacterales; Thermoanaerobacterales Family III. Incertae Sedis.
CCUACGGGUGGCUGCAGUGGGGAAUAUUGCACAAUGGGCGAAAGCCUGAUGCAGCAACGCCGCGUGGAGGAUGAAUGCCUUCGGGUUGUAAACUCUUGUCUUCUGGGACGAUAAUGACGGUACCAGAGGAGGAAGCCACGGCUAACUACGUGCCAGCAGCCGCGGUAAUACGUAGGUGGCGAGCGUUGUCCGGAUUUACUGGGCGUAAAGGGCUCGUAGGCGGUAACUCAAGUCGGUUGUGAAAACCGACGGCUUAACCGGAGGAUUGCAGUUGAUACUGGGUUACUUGAGGCAAGGAGAGGAAGGUGGAAUUCCCGGUGUAGCGGUGAUAUGCGUAGAUAUCGGGAGGAACCCCAGUGGCGAAGGCGGCCUUCUGGUCUUGACCUGACGCUGAGGAGCGAAAGCCAGGGUAGCGAACGGGAUUAGAUACCCGGGUAGUC